UCCGGGGAGGGGCCGACUGUGAAGAUCCCGGUGUGCGGAGUCCUCAGCGCGGAGGCUGCUGCCCCUGGCGUUCAGUGUGGCCGCGCGAACCGAGUGGGAACGUCCCAUGGCUCAGAAAUGUGGGACAGGAAAACGUUGGGGACCUUUGCACUGUGCCGGGGGACAGGGUAAAGGAAGACCUAGGUCCGACCCGCCUCCUUAGGCAGUGCCUCGCUUUAUGAAAUAUAGCUGGAGUCUGGCACUUUCAAAGCUUGCACCGAACUCAUCCUCCCCAGCGCGCACGCCCCCGGCUUCCUGCAAUACAGGCACCAGCAGCCGAGACCUUGCUCUAUUGCAGUUCAUGAAACUACUUGCCAUGCAUGUCAACUUGUCAUCCAGAAACUCUCAGGAGGUAGAAAUCACUUAACACAGUUUUAGGUGGAGCAGUGGCUUGUGGAGUGGCAAAGUUUGGGACUCACUCACUUAACUGAAGAUACCCCAGCCUUGAAGAAGGACCAGUAGAAAGGCAAUGCCUCAAAGGUGAUACCUGCAUAAGUAAUGUCCACCCUUCUGGUACAGGGAGUUUUGGAAAAAUCCUGUCAUGAGACAAGUAGAAUGUCCAUAAGGCAGACCUGCCAUGAUCCAAGAUAGUCUUCCUCCUGGUUCAAGAUGGCAAAGUCCUAGGUGUCACAUGGAAAUACAACCACAUCCAAUAGCAGAAGAGGACUGUCUCUUGACAAAAGGCCUCACUCAGCAGAGGAUCUCCAUCUGAAGAGCUUCUCUCCAGGAGUACCCUGGCCUCUCAAGAUGCUGACAGCAGUUUCCUGACUUAGCUGAUUCAGCCCUGGUCACCCUGCUCUUGGAGGAUGCUUCAUCAUGUCAGCUUCCUGGUGAAAACCGACCUUAGUCGGCCAUGCCUGUCUAUUCCUGUGCCCUUUCUUAUGGAAUUUCUGCCCAUCCAAAACUGAGCAGUUGUGGAAGUAAGUCUAUGCUAUAAAACCUGGAAGCUCCCAGAUCUCUCCUCCAAAUUCAGUGACCCCUGCAUCUAAUAGGAAGACAUACACAGAUGCUAAGAACUGGUGUAGUAUCUUUUUCUUAAAGGCAGGCUUGGCUUUGUACUUCUGCAUCUCUGUUCACUUCUACACAGAGAACAAAGGAAUUUUUGUGGAGGCAGGCACAUCCCACAUUCCUAGUUUACAGAAUUUAUUUUUAACCAGGACUACAUUUAGAAAUAUAUGAGCAACUAUACUAGUAAUGAUAGGCGGAAGAAGAGAAGGCGUGUGUGUGGAUUCAUCUUUCUAGGUAGGUAUGGCUCCAGUUAAUAUUUAAAAUGAUCUCGAAUUCUCUGAGCACACACUAUCUGAUGGGGGAGGUUGUGACGAGAGAGACAGGUGGCGGUGGGAAAGCUGACCUAGGAUUAAAAAUUAAUUGUACUCAAUUUGGAAAUUAGAUCAUUGUAGGCAGAUGGAUAUGAGUUUAAUAUGAUUUUGUAUUUAACUUUUUGGAGGAGAUUUAAAAUCUUAUGCACCAACUAGGCAAUUUAUGAACUCACAUUUCAGCUUUAAUUCUACCUCAUCACAAGUAGAAUUAUAGGUCUGGAAAAACUCCACCAAUCGUUCUCCCUUGGAAAGAACCACACCCGGAGCCAGCCAAGGCAACAGGGAUCCCUAACACAUUUUUUUUUUUUUUGAGACUUCUAAUUUAAGGUAUUCUACAGCCAGUCUCCCUCAGGAGCAAAUUCUGGUGUUCUACUUUUCCAUUGAGCUAGCCUCUGCUGUGUUUCCUCUUCCCCUGCUCCAGGCAGCUGGAUAGACCAAGAAACCUGUACCUCCACCUUCAUCAGCUUCAGCCUCAGCUUUAGCAUCUUCGGGGCCUGCUUUGCCGUUCCAUGGGCUGUGAAGUGAGGCAUGCUGGACCAGGGCACAGCCCUGGGCCAAAAGGGAAGGAGAGUAAACAGGGAGGGUCCUGCCCACUUAGGGUAUAGGACUUGGGCCAGAAGGAACUAACCGGAUUCUAGAGGCUGGCCCACAACAGAGCUUGAUCGAUUCAAGAUACAGUGCCCAAAGGGAAAAGAAAGCCUGGGCAAAUGACGGUCCUAGAGUGUCCUGUUUGGUUGGUGGUGUAAGGUAGGGAGAGAUUCCGGGCAGCAGCAAGCAUGCAGGCAUUGGAUCCAGCAGAGAUGUGGUUCUGGAAGAGCUGAACAUUCGCGGAGUUACCGGCAAAUGGAUGAGGGCAUAAAGAAGAGUUCGCUUUCCUUCAGGGAAAGAUACUGGCAAGCAGGCAAGCGUUUCAGGGCCCGAAUAAGCAGUCCAAGGAUUAGAAUAAUACUCAAAUUCUGGAGGGAAGGAGGGCUCCCUUCUAGUGGUCAUUGCUGAUGCAGCUCUCCUCAUUCUGCCCACUCUAUCAGGGUACCUUAUUACAUCUUUGGAGUCAAUGACCACCUUGGUGAUUUCCUACUUUAAAUCUUAACAUAACAUGUUCAAAGAAACUCACAGCUUCCCCCAACCUGCUUUUCUUCCUAUGUUCUUUAUUUCAAGGGAAGGAUUCAUUCUUGAUUCUUCCUUGUUCUCACUCACCAUAUUUAGUCGUUCAUAAAAUCCAAUCAUAUCUUCCUUCUAAAUAGCUCCUAAUUUUGUUCCCUCCUGCUUCACUGGCAAUAUCUUAGUCCUGGUCACCAUCACAAUUUCACCAGAAUUUGUGCUAUAACCUUUUAACUGUUCUCCUUGCCUCUAGUCAUGCAUGUCCUUUGCCAACACUUCCCCCUAAAUGCAACUUUGAUUUUUAUCUCUCUUCUACUUAAAGUCUUCACUGCCCCCAGGAUAAAAUGCAGAACUCACCAGCUUAAAGGCUCACCUGCCCUGCCUACCUGUCCACCUCUUCUUCUUCCACAUCCUUCUCCAGCCAUAUUGAACUUCUUAAGGUCCCUGAGGAAGCCUAGAUUUCUCUGGAUGCCACAUCUGUGUAUAUAGGGUUCUUCAUGUGAAUAACUUUUACUCAUCUUUUGGGGUUCAAGUCAAGGUAUCAUCUUCUCUAGGACUCUUCUCUGGGUGGAUGCCCCUCUUACCUGCUCC
Myotis davidii is the source of this 3050-nucleotide long non-coding RNA. RefSeq lists it as uncharacterized. Lineage: Eukaryota; Metazoa; Chordata; Mammalia; Chiroptera; Vespertilionidae. The transcript has 6 exons. The record is from RefSeq and is a predicted model, not a curated record.